RNAcentral lists this ribosomal RNA (86 nucleotides) under Lodderomyces parapsilosis. RNAcentral's name for it is "Candida parapsilosis partial 18S ribosomal RNA". Lineage: Eukaryota; Fungi; Ascomycota; Pichiomycetes; Serinales; Debaryomycetaceae. The record is from RNAcentral.
CACAUGUGUAAGAAAAAAUGGCAGUUAAGCACUUUUCAUUCUGUAAUGAGCGAGCUUCCGUAAGGGUGCCUGCGGAAGGAUCAUUA